RNAcentral lists this ribosomal RNA (253 nucleotides) under uncultured bacterium. Its description in RNAcentral is "partial 16S ribosomal RNA". It matches the Rfam family "Bacterial small subunit ribosomal RNA", at positions 524 to 776 of the family's 1533-position model. The record is from RNAcentral.
UACGAAGGGGGCUAGCGUUGCUCGGAAUCACUGGGCGUAAAGCGCACGUAGGCGGACUCUUAAGUCGGUGGUGAAAUCCUGGAGCUCAACUCCAGAACUGCCUUCGAUACUGAGAGUCUCGAGUCCGGGAGAGGUGAGUGGAACUGCGAGUGUAGAGGUGAAAUUCGUAGAUAUUCGCAAGAACACCAGUGGCGAAGGCGGCAUCCUGGACCGGUAUUGACACUGAGGCGCGAAAGCCAGGGGAGCAAACGGG